Non-coding RNA from Malus domestica (apple), 2316 nucleotides. The record is from RefSeq and is a predicted model, not a curated record. NCBI's taxonomy places the organism in Eukaryota, Viridiplantae, Streptophyta, Magnoliopsida, Rosales, Rosaceae.
AAUAUGGUUAAAGUGACUUGUCCAAGUUUUCUGGUACAAGGCGCCGACGGUUUGGCAAAUUGUGGUGUUAAUCACCCGGGUUCAUUGCCACAAGCACAAGACGGACAGGGAGUGAUCAUCGGGUUGUAAAAAGAUGACAGAGAGACACAACAAGUAGGGUUCUGGGAAGCCAGCACUUGCGAGUAACUACAGGUUAAACUCCAUGUCACUGCCAAAAAGGGAACACGAUAUUUACAUGUUAGAGAGGCGUACCGUUUCUUAUUUUGCUGUCGAAGCAAUUUAUAAACCACAUGCUGAAACAUAUGAAAUCAAAGGCCACUAGUUGAAACGCUAUUGCAUGUACAUGCGAAGAUAUAUCAAAAGAUGGAAUGUGACACUUUGGGCACAUUUUGUUCGAACGGUAAAACUUACUCAUUGCUCGAGUCUUACGCAGACCAUCAGGCGAGUAGGAGACUGAGGGUGGCACAAUGGUUGCAGCACUGCAGGUAUACCCCGGCCCAGGACCAAGCAGGAAAAAAUUCUUGGGUGGUCUUGCUGUUGUAUUCGAGGUACCUGAAUGCCCGACACUCAGCUGAAAUGCCGAGACAGCAGCCAAGGGGUCUUGUCCAAGUGAUUCCAACACACCACCCUUGCAGCAAUCAGAAAAUCUUUGGUUGUAUGGAGCCGUAGGAGGCAAGUCAACAACUGAAGGAAUUUUUGAGCAGCUGUGUGGAAUAUUUCCUUUGAACUUGGAGCAGUAUCCUUGAUCAGUGGCUUGAGCUCCCGCCAUGGACCAGAUCACCUCCUUUUUAGCCCAUGUCCAUCCUAAGGUCCACCCUGGGCUCGUGACGGGGCGGUACAUUUGGUUGUUGCUUAUUGUCACUGCAGCCUGCGUAAUCAAGGUAAUAUUAAUAAGCAUUUGUUUUAAUUAACUUUUUGGAGAUUCUAAAUGCUUGAAUAUUUGUAUUAAUUAGAGCUUAAUCAUAACUUAAGAUAAACAAAAUUCUAAGAAAAUUAAUAAACAAAUAAGAUUACAAAGUUGACCUUAUACAAAAUGGCUGGCAUUGAUUUGAAUCAUUUCUGUGUACUUUUUCGACAAUUGUGGAGGAAUAUUCAUUGGACAUGAUACUUUUUUUCAUAUUUUAUACUUGUUGAAUUUAUUAAUUGUUAGGGUUACUCGAAGUGUUCAAACCAAAAACACAACAAAAAAGAUGUUUUACAAGUUCUUGUGGCACUCACCACAUAGCCAUCAGAAGUCCAAGAAACAACAUCCCAUCUGAUGUUUAUGCUCCCUUUUGGAUCAAACGGAUCAUAAGCCACUACAAACAUGACCGGAACGAAAAAAAAGGCAAAUUAGAACAAGCAACGAUGCUUAAUCAAGGAAUCAUAUUCCUAAUUAGAGUUCUAAUUACAGUUAAAAAUCUCACCUGCAUAAGAAAAUAUUGUGAAACACACGACAGAUGCAAACAAUGUGCUUUUACACUUCCUAAUCUCCAUGGAUUAACUUCCAGUAUGCUGCCUAGGGUUUUUUGUACAACGUAUUUGGUACGAUAUGAUUGUCGAAAUGUCAGUAUUUAUAAGCAACUAAGCUCAAACCAAAUACUAUAUCUUGUGCUAGGGUUUUUACAGAUGUCAUGUUCUCAUGUACUUGAUUGCGACAAAAGUAUAUGUAUAUGAGGAAUGUAUAUACUUCUGCAAUAUAUAAAAAUUUAAAGGCAUGGAAGAUUCCUUGUUGCAGCAACAUUGAUCCUGCCGGGCGGCGAAGGUGGGCGCAGACGAUGAGGAUCUACAGUACGAGUAUCUGCAGCUGAGGCCAAAAUUAAAUAAUAUUCAGGUGCUUUUUGGAAGCAGAAAAUUGCUUUUAAUUCACCAACCUACCAGUGCUUUUUGGAGACAAAGCAGUAGAUUGCACAAGCUUCUUGCCAAAUGCUGACUGUGACCUGCAUAACUAAUUAAUUUCAGCUUUUUCAUACUAUUUUUUUGGUCUUUUUUCAUCUAUGUUCAUCUAUCCACGUUUUCUAAAACCAUGUUAAGUGGCAUCUUCUUGGAACAUGAUGUGCUUUGCCUAAAAGACAUUUGUUUAUCAUCAAAUCUGCAGAUAGUUUGAGAUUUGAACAGUGCUUGGAAUUGAAAUGGAGGGACGGGCGGUGGGUCUUCGGGUUUGAGUGUGGACGUUAUACGUCCUACUCCAAGAAGCUAAUAUCGCGUAUUUUUCAUAUUUUUAUUUAUAAAACAAACAAAAUUCAGACUGCUAAGAUGAAGUUAUAUAUGAAAUUAUGAAUAGUGAGUAAAGUUGAUGAAACGUAUACAUUGUGUACUAAAUAUUUGGUGAUUAGA